UCUUACUGCAGCUUCGUACUUCUACUUCGUCUCUACUCUCAUCUAUAAUCUUCUAGUGUUCUAGUUCGUCUUCUCUUCAUGAACCAAAAGAAUCAAAAGAUCAAUCUCUUACGCCUAAAACUCGAACGAACUUAUAUUAGCAUGAAAACUGAAAAAUCAAUCUCUGCCAACACUCAACAGGUUAUAAUAUAAAUUCAAGAAGACAAUGACUCGGUGUCUGAAGUUCUACAAAUCUACUUGUUAAUUCUUGAUCUCUCAAUCACACAAAUAAAUCAGUUAUGAUGAUGAAACAAUUUCAAUCACUGUCUCUGUCUCAGAUGCAAAAUUAGGGCAAAAUAUAUAGAAUUUUAGCAGGACAGCAGGUUCAAAUCCCCUAAAGUACUAAACAAAGAUCAUCAAUUACUUCCCAUCAAAGGGUUGAAUCUAUUUCAGCAUGAACCUGGAACAAACUCGAGCAACCAGUUUAAAAACAUCAGCAACAAGUCAUCUCACUAAAACACAUGGUGCGAAUUGUUGCAUUUCGUGGCUGUAAGCACCACAUUUACAGAUGAAGUGACAAGAACUAAAACUAAAAGGCACUGUAACGCAAGCCGAAUGAGAACAAUGGGGUUAUUUUUAGAAUCUCGCUGUUAGACUGUUGUUAAAUUUUUUCCUGAUUUCAUUUUAUUGUUAGAAUCUGCUACAAUUUUCAAUAUGUU
Molecule: long non-coding RNA, 698 nt
Organism: Papaver somniferum (opium poppy)
Lineage: Eukaryota; Viridiplantae; Streptophyta; Magnoliopsida; Ranunculales; Papaveraceae
Exons: 3
Source: RefSeq, a predicted model, not a curated record